This 441-nucleotide ribosomal RNA is filed under the name uncultured bacterium. RNAcentral describes it as "partial 16S ribosomal RNA". It matches the Rfam family "Bacterial small subunit ribosomal RNA", at positions 338 to 795 of the family's 1533-position model. The record is from RNAcentral.
CCUACGGGCGGCAGCAGUGGGGAAUAUUGGGCAAUGGGCGCAAGCCUGACCCAGCAACGCCGCGUGAAGGAAGAAGGCUUUCGGGUUGUAAACUUCUUUUGACAGGGAAGAGCAGAAGACGGUACCUGUCGAAUAAGCCACGGCUAACUACGUGCCAGCAGCCGCGGUAAUACGUAGGUGGCAAGCGUUGUCCGGAUUUACUGGGUGAAAAGGGCGUGUAGCCGGGCUGACAAGUCAGAUGUGAAAUCCGGGGGCUAAACCCCCGAACUGCAUUUGAAACUGUUGGUCUUGAGUAUCGGAGAGGCAGGGGAAAUUCCUGGGGUAGCGGUGAAAUGCGUGGAUAUUAGGAGGAACACCAGUGGCGAGGGCGGCCUGCUGAACGACAACUGACGGGGAGGCGCGAAAGCGUGGGAGCAAACAGGAUUAGAUACCCUUGUAGUC